Molecule: ribosomal RNA, 496 nt
Filed under: uncultured bacterium
Lineage: Bacteria
Description: partial 16S ribosomal RNA
Rfam family: Bacterial small subunit ribosomal RNA
Source: RNAcentral
AUGAACGCUGGCGGCGUGCCUAAUACAUGCAAGUCGCGCGAACGGACGAGAAGCUUGCUUCUCUGAUGUUAGCGGCGGACGGGUGAGUAACGCGUGGAUAACCUACCUAUAAGACUGGGAUAACUUCGGGAAACCGGAGCUAAUACCGGAUAAUAUUUUGAACCGCAUGGUUCAAAAGUGAAAGACGGUCUUGCUGUCACUUAUAGAUGGAUCCGCGCUGCAUUAGCUAGUUGGUAAGGUAACGGCUUACCAAGGCAACGAUGCAUAGCCGACCUGAGAGGGUGAUCGGCCACACUGGAACUGAGACACGGUCCAGACUCCUACGGGAGGCAGCAGUAGGGAAUCUUCCGCAAUGGGCGAAAGCCUGACGGAGCAACGCCGCGUGAGUGAUGAAGGUCUUCGGAUCGUAAAACUCUGUUAUUAGGGAAGAACAUAUGUGUAAGUAACUGUGCACAUCUUGACGGUACCUAAUCAGAAAGCCACGGCUAACUACGUG